Molecule: long non-coding RNA, 1575 nt
Organism: Hippocampus zosterae (dwarf seahorse)
Lineage: Eukaryota; Metazoa; Chordata; Actinopteri; Syngnathiformes; Syngnathidae
Exons: 2
Source: RefSeq, a predicted model, not a curated record
UGUUUUAAUAAUUUUCCACAAUUUCCAUUUCUCAAAUGUGAACUUUUAUCGGGCAACAGCGGGAUGUUUGAACAUUAUUUCAUGUGUUACGUUGAUGUGUUAUGUUGAUUUGUUGUAUUUGGAGCUGUUAUUAAAUCAGUGAGCCAAACACGUACUAAUAAAACAAUGAAAAGCACUGUCACUGUUGUGUUUCUUAAGAGGUUGUGUUUUUCAGCAGAACACAGAACCAGACAAAGAAAUGCCCCAAAGAUCUCCAUUACCAAAUUGAGAAACACUCCUUGUGGUAAAUUUAACACUGAGGGGUGCGGGCAAAUGGAAUACAAUUUGCGGAGGAUUGGGACCAGGCUGUCGGAGGAUGAGAUUAAUUGUUGCCUAUUUUGAAAGACUGUUUAUUAGACAAUAACGAGGAAAAAGGGUAGUUUGGGUAGGUUUAACUUGGAUUUCUUUUUUAUGCCUUGUUGCAGGUUUAUAUCUGCUUAUUAAUAGUGAGGGUUGACUCAUAGUUUUAUUUAUUGCAUCGCUCAUGAUUAAGUCAAGUCAUAUUUAUUUGUGUAGCUCUUAAUCACAGAAAAGUCUCUUUGGGCCUCCUAUGCCUAUAGUUCACAAAUAUUAACGAUACUGUAGCCCCUGAUUUAACCCCCAACAGGGCGAGGAAAUACCUUAAAAUUUUGACAAGACAAGGAUUCCUUUUAUUUUAAAAUAAAGAAUUUAGAACGUUUUCGGAGUUGGAAUGAGACGAACGGGUUUUAAAUUGAAACGGUUUGAAUAUGUCAAAAAAAUGUAGAAAUUAGAAGUAAGCCACCAAGUUACUUUGGCGAGGGGAAUUGGUGGGUGCGGUGCAGACACCAGAGAAUGACCAAUUCAGUAGACAAUGGCGUAAUAUAAACCCAAUUCCAAUGACGUUGAUUUGCAAAUCAUGUUUAACCUAUAUUUAACAGAGUACACUACAAAGACAUAUUUUUGGGCAGUAUGCUUUGGUGCAGCUGGAUUGAUGGCUGCUGGAUGACGAGAGAGGAGCGUCGGCGUGGGGCACGGAUGCAUAUUUGGAACUGAAAGUCACCACUUGGAAUUUAAGGCAAUUUACAUGGCACAGGAAAAAAACAAUCUUGAAGUCUGUAUUCUGCUCAUAUUUAGUCAUUCUGUAUAAUCUUACCAUGCCCACAGCGUAGCUCGGCGUCCUUGUAACCAUCAUCUCCUAGAAUUGGACUACUCUUGUAUUAUUCAUCUCUUCUUAGUUAGGUUUGAUGGUUAAGGUGUUAUUUCUCUGUUAGUUGUGUUUGUUCAGACACUUGAAAGAAACAAUGUAGAAUGCUGUUAGGUAUUUCCUGCUCACCGUUUUUACAAUCACCUUUAGUGCCCCUCGACCCCCACCACUUUAGGGCCCCCCUCCACAGGACAUGUUUAACAUCAAAAGAGGAACUGUUAUCUCAAGUAUCUGUGUUCCUGCCAUCACACCAAAUGGUGGGUAGUGGUCUGGUCUCACCUCACCGCUCCCAACUUCUUCCAGCCACACCGGGAGCCCGAAUCGAUUCGUAAACUGCAGAAAAUUAAAGUAAACCCUUCGAAGGAACUGUU